GGGUGAGUAACGCGUGGAUAAUCUACCCCUCAGUUGGGAAUAACUCAUCGAAAGGUGGGCUAAUACCGAAUAAUACUGCAUGACUUCUGUUGUGUAGUCAAAGAUGGCCUCUGCUUGCAAGCUAUCGCUGAAGGAUGAGUCCGCGUACCAUUAGCUAGUUGGUAGGGUAAUGGCCUACCAAGGCAACGAUGGUUAGCUGGUCUGAGAGGAUGAUCAGCCACACUGGAACUGAGACACGGUCCAGACUCCUACGGGAGGCAGCAGUGAGGAAUAUUGCGCAAUGGGGGCAACCCUGACGCAGCAACGCCGCGUGAGUGAGGAAGGUUUUCGGACCGUAAAGCUCUGUCGAGCGGGAAGAAAUGCAUAGUGGCUAAUAUCCAUUAUGCUUGACGGUACCGCUAAAGGAAGCACCGGCUAACUCCGUGCCAGCAGCCGCGGUAAUACGGAGGGUGCAAGCGUUGUUCGGAAUUAUUGGGCGUAAAGCGCGUGUAGGCGGUUUGUUAAGUCUGAUGUGAAAGCCCCGGGCUCAACCUGGGAAGUGCAUUGGAAACUGUCAGACUUGAAUACGGGAGAGGGUAGUGGAAUUCCUAGUGUAGGAGUGAAAUCCGUAGAUAUUAGGAGGAACACCGGUGGCGAAGGCGGCUACCUGGACCGAUAUUGACGCUGAGACGCGAAAGCGUGGGUAGCAAACAGGAUUAGAUACCCUGGUAGUCCACGCCGUAAACGAUGAGUACUAGGUGUUGCGGGUAUUGACCCCUGCAGUGCCGCAGCUAACGCAUUAAGUACUCC
This 789-nucleotide ribosomal RNA is filed under the name uncultured bacterium. RNAcentral describes it as "bacterial SSU rRNA". It matches the Rfam family "Bacterial small subunit ribosomal RNA", at positions 104 to 870 of the family's 1533-position model. The record is from RNAcentral.